Salmo salar (Atlantic salmon) is the source of this 72-nucleotide non-coding RNA. The record is from Rfam. Lineage: Eukaryota; Metazoa; Chordata; Actinopteri; Salmoniformes; Salmonidae.
UCCCGUUUGGUUCAGUUGGUAGAGCAUGGUGCUUGCAACUCCAGGGUUGCGGGUUCUAUUCCCACGGGGGAC